This 90-nucleotide transfer RNA is filed under the name Alicyclobacillus fastidiosus. RNAcentral's name for it is "tRNA-Ser". It matches the Rfam family "tRNA". Rfam says of the family: Transfer RNA (tRNA) molecules are approximately 80 nucleotides in length. Their secondary structure includes four short double-helical elements and three loops (D, anti-codon, and T loops). Lineage: Bacteria; Bacillati; Bacillota; Bacilli; Caryophanales; Alicyclobacillaceae. The record is from RNAcentral.
GGAGAGAUGUCUGAGUGGCCGAAAGAGCUCGCCUCGAAAGCGAGUAGCUCUGCAAGGGGCUCGUGGGUUCGAAUCCCACUCUCUCCGCCA